UACGUAGGUGGCAAGCGUUGUCCGGAUUUACUGGGCGUAAAGAGCGCGCAGGCGGUCGUUCAAGUCGCGUGUGAAAGCCCCCGGCUCAACUGGGGAGGGUCACGCGAUACUGAUCGACUCGAAGGCAGGAGAGGGUAGUGGAAUUCCCGGUGUAGUGGUGAAAUGCGUAGAUAUCGUUUGGAACGCCAAUGGUGAAAACAGGUUGCUGGGAGUGUGCUGACGCUGAGACACGAAAGCCAGGGGAGCGAACGGG
This 253-nucleotide ribosomal RNA is filed under the name uncultured bacterium. RNAcentral describes it as "partial 16S ribosomal RNA". It matches the Rfam family "Bacterial small subunit ribosomal RNA", at positions 524 to 776 of the family's 1533-position model. The record is from RNAcentral.